CUGGUGACCUAUCACUACUGGUUUCCAGCAGGCCUCCAUCUUAGGCCCUGUGUGCUUCAACAUCUUCAUAAAAGACCUGGACACAGGACUGGAAGGGAUAUUUAUCAAGUGUGUAAACAGUGCAAAGCUGGGAGGGGCUGAUGGCUCCCAUGAAGUGCCAGACCAAACAAAAGUAGGACAGAAGAUGAGAGAGAAAGAAGGAGGAAGGGAGAGAGCGAGGAAGGAACAGGCUGUGGACUCAGCUCUAAACUGUUGCUACUGCCUCCUCGCAAGAGCAGCAUUAACUGUUCUAAGGAUUUUAGAUGCCAUAAUAAUGGAUAAGAUUUGAAGAAACUACAGAGGUUUUUGACCAUGAACAAUCAGAGACUUGUUCAAUUUUGUAUCAGAGGGAUUAAAUUCAACACUAAAUCCUCUUCAAGCCAAAUCUUCCUGGUUCCAAAGAUGGAUGUGCUGCUGGUCAUCUUCUCCCGGAGCAGCUGGAGAAGUCUUGAGUGAUAAAUUUACCAAAACCUCUAUGUCUCCCUGUCUCCCUGUACCGCUGGAGAAGAAGGAAGAUGUGUCCGAUGUUCUCAAAGACUUAACAUUUAUUCAGGCUACCCUUCUACUUGCAAUAAUGCAAACUGUUUCUUACUACACUAGUCUGAAACAUACAUAAGAUGAAGAAAUCAAACAGCAAUUUCUCAGCUACUACAAGACUGCCAUUAGCAAUCUAACAGCAUGACAUUCUUGAGAAGUAAGAAACACCCCAUGCAAGCAGUAUGUCUUCUGUUCUUUCUUCCUGAACCUCCUCCUGCUUCUGCCACCCAGAAAAAGCAGUAGUCACAGUUUGUGGAAGAACCUGAAAUGAUUUUUACUGGCAACAAGUGAAACCCAAGAGACUUAUAGCUAUAAGGACUUCGAUGCACUAAGCCAUCCUACUUCAAUUCAGUCCUACCAUCUUAAAGAAAUUAAUUAAUGCCUUCAAUGCAAUAAAGACACUACUUAAAGAAAAGAAAGAUCAUGAAAGUUACUCACAAAGGACAGGAGAAAAUGCAAGGCUUCCAUGAACCUGCAGAGAGGAUGAUCUAUAACUUUAUCCAUAGCUUUAUCCAUGUUUGAGCUGUGUUAAAAUCUACAGUCGCUCUUCCUGCUCCCUCUACUACAACACUGAAAUAUGGUUUCUUGGAGAUUCUGGAAUUGGUUUAAUUAUUUCAGUACUCAUAACCCAUACUAGCAAUGAAUAUUUACAAGAAAGUUACACAAUAAUUUUCCUAGGCAUUGAAUAAACCUACAGUUUAUUCAAAAACCUAGAUCAAACCGGAUCCACAAAACUGACACAUUCUUUACACUAAGUCUAAUAAAAACUGGGAGGAAAGGUACAGCUUUAUUAGUCAUACUCUUCCUUGGAUGAGUUUAGAAAUGGUUUAGAAAAUGAAGAAGUACAGAUGAAAAAUGCAUACAUUACACACCCCCUUUUAGCAAAACUGCCACAGGUUUAUUUCAUUUUUGACUCUGAACAUUUUAGUGAGAAACAAUUGGGGCUGACCCAAUUCCUUAUGCACCCUCACACAGCUCAGCCCUAAGGAAUGGAAAAAGGAGAAAGGAUGAAGGAGGCUGUCAGGGAAAGAAUUUUUCAUUUUCAGAUUUUACCUCCAUCAAGCACAGGACUGGAUGAGACAGAAUUUGAUGAGACAUAAUCAUGCAAUGUCACCUUCUACAUUGAUUAGUCAAUGUUGGUAAAUAUAUUAAGUAGCAAGGCACACUCCUGUUUUCUAGGCUGUGGAAUAUAGAGCCAUGGAGAAAAACCCUCAUUUAUUCUAAAUAAAGAUUAAAUAUUUUUAAUAGAUUAAGUACAUUUUUACUCUAGAAAAUGUGGAAUUCAAAACUUAUGAGGUAAACAUUCUAUAUUUUUAGAUAUGUGAAUAAUAUAUAAGAGUACUCAGCUAAGCUCAUCUCUUCCUAUUGCCUUGGAAAGCUGUUACAUGAACUAAGGGAAGUCUUAUUAGCUGAAAAUGGGCGUGUGGCACAACUUUCCAUUUUUAGGUGAAACUGACAUUUCAUUGCAUAACCACAUUACAUAGUGGAACAGUGUGCCAUGAUGAAAUGAUAAGAUAGCAGCUCUCAGAUGCACAGAGAAAGCAAAAAUUACACUGAGCUAGGAAAAAUAUUGUUAAAUUAUACACCAGUUAUCCCCUUUGCCUGUCCUCCCAGCUUCCUUCCUUCCCAAAAAAGAAAUCAAUGAUUUUUCUUCUGAAGAUAUUCAGCAGUGCCAUCAUGAAUGUUAUUACAGGCACCUGAGAGAUCCUUGUACCAUUGUGUCUGGUAAGGAAUGAAAUGUUUGCUUGAUGUAUUGAAAUUUUUAGCCUGUUUUUCUAAGCUUUUUUUUUUUUUUUUUUUUUUUUUAAUUCCUGACUUUUAAUCUAGUAGCUCUCUAUUUUCCAGCCACAGAAUGAUUUUCAAACACCCAUCCUUCUUUUUAGAUCAACGCUUGCACUGACACUGGCAGUUUGCAGAUUUUCCUUUUAAACUUCAUAAGCCAGCUAAACCACUUUCCAUGGCAAUAUGAAUCACAAGCAUGAAAGUUUGGGAAUUACUAGGUUGAACAGAAUUUAGAAGUCAGGAGAAAAGCCCAUUUUGAAUUAUAAUAUUGAAGGCUAAUAUUAUAAUUAAAAAAACAAAGAUGAGGAUAAUAUUGAUGGCAACUUCAGAAAAGUUUUUUUUUCAAAUUCCUUUAAGACUCAGUUAAGAUCUGCUUUCUUCGGCAGUGUAGGAUUAGGACCAGAACACAUUGGCAGUCUUAAUUCACAUGCAAGGAGCUAGUGAAAGUUAUCAGUACAUGGAAAAUAGUCAGAAUGGAUUACUUUCGUAUUUAAGGUAAAAAUCUCUUUUUCUCUAGCUUCAGAAAAUGCAUUUUGCAGUUCUGGAAGUUAUUUAUUUGUUGAAAGACAUGACUAAAACAACAACACAGCAAGAAAUUUCUGCAAAGUUAUGUAUAUUUACACUUUUUCUUUGGGGGCGAGUAAAAAAACCCAACACCUUCCUAAAUUUGAUGCACACUCUUCACAAAGAAUGUUUUAUAGCACAAACAGCUGUCCCAACACUUUCUCACAACAAAAUUGCAGUGCUAUGGACAAAUGAAUCUCUCAAAGAAAAGUAGUUUAGAGCAGAGGGGUAUCUGUACAAACAAGGAAUUAGUUGAAGAAUGUCCAAACCAUGCUGUAGUAAAAAAGAUGAGGUCUUGCAUACUUGGUGGAUCCAUGGAAUUGCAUGGGUUGCGCCUUCCAUGGAGCACUAUUUGACUCAAAAAUGCUCUAUGAAAGAACCACAAAAAAAUAAAACUGAUGAUAUUUACUUGCUUCAGAUGAAUCUGUAACUCAGGUAACAAGUACAACACAGUUCUUCAGCUUAAUGUGCUAUCUUUCAAGUUUCUGCAUGUUAUCAUCUUUAUACCAGAUUGUAUUACCAGAUAUAUGAUACAUAUGUGUAAGGGGAGGUUUGGUUGGAUAUUAGAAAUAUUGGAUAUUCUUCAACCAGAGAGUGGUUGGGCACUGGAACAGGCUUCCCAGGGGAGUGGUCACAGCACCAGCCUGGCAGAGCUCAAGAAGGGUCUGGACAAUACUCUCAGGCACAGGGUGUGACUCUUGGGACAGCCUGUGCAGGCCAGGAGCUGAACUCAAGAACCUUUGAGGGUCCCUUCCAACUCAGAAUAUUCUAUGAUUCUAUAUUUAGGAGGUCAGCAAGAGGGGAAGAAUAGGAGAAAGCCUUUUCCAUGAUGAGCGCAUUUUUUUCAAUUUACCAUUAUUAAAAACACUCAAGAGUUCUAUUUUUUGCUAACAUAUUUUGGAAAACCUUGAAUCAUUAACUGAUUUUCCAAAUUGUUUUCAAUACUAUUGACAUAUUUCAUUCAUAUUGAUUAGUUACCUUCCAGAAAGAAUAAUUUUAGUUUCUGAAGUUAUGAGACAUUUUAAGAAAAUAGGCAUUUUUCAAUAUACAUGCACACUUAAAUAUAUAUUUAUAUAUAUAAAUAUAAAUAUAAAGAAAAAAUGAAAAAAGCUACAUGAGAAUAGAUCUUAUUUCUACCACAUUUGUUACUAUUAGCUCAAAUCAAUUCAGACAUUUUUCCUGUUUUGUUUUAUUUUUGUUGUGUUUUAGAAGUAUAAAUUAGAUCUGAAACGGUAGCAUUUUUCAAAAAACAGAAAACCCAGUUCUGCUCUGUUCUAAAUCAUUAUCUUACUGUAUUGUUUUGUGCCUUUGUGAUCAACAAUAACUCAUUCAUUGUCCUUGUCUUCCUUAUUACACAUUGUCUAAGCAUAUAUGGAACUAAAAUUCCAUUCUCAGGAUGCAAAGUAUCAUACUGUCAACCCAAAUCCAUAAUCUGAAGAAAGGCCUGAGGAAAAUUACUCUAGUAAACCGACAGAGUUUACUUCUAGUAAACUCUGUCGGUUUACUAGAAGCUCAACAUGACCCAGCAAUGUGCACUCGCAGCCCAGAAGGCAAAU
Molecule: long non-coding RNA, 4478 nt
Organism: Passer domesticus (house sparrow)
Lineage: Eukaryota; Metazoa; Chordata; Aves; Passeriformes; Passeridae
Exons: 6
Source: RefSeq, a predicted model, not a curated record